AAAUAAAAAGUAUUUUAAUCAGGCACACAGAGGGCACCUCACAUCUAGGGUCCUACUGAAAGGGCCUUAGAGCGAGGACACCGAAGCGGGAAUAUCAAAGAGCGAUGUUGCCACUGGUAAUAGAAUGGAUUCUAACAAUCAGCUCUACAAAAGACUUGUCAUAGAGGGCUCAGAACAGCUGGAUCCCGACCAGCCCAGGCCUCCAGGUAGUGGACCUGCUCAUGGACCAGCAGACAUGUCCCAGUCACGAGCAGAUGGA
This is a long non-coding RNA of Melanotaenia boesemani (Boeseman's rainbowfish), 259 nucleotides long. RefSeq lists it as uncharacterized. The record is from RefSeq and is a predicted model, not a curated record. The transcript is spliced from 3 exons. NCBI's taxonomy places the organism in Eukaryota, Metazoa, Chordata, Actinopteri, Atheriniformes, Melanotaeniidae.